RNAcentral lists this ribosomal RNA (440 nucleotides) under uncultured bacterium. RNAcentral describes it as "bacterial SSU rRNA". It matches the Rfam family "Bacterial small subunit ribosomal RNA", at positions 30 to 484 of the family's 1533-position model. The record is from RNAcentral.
AUUGAACGCUGGCGGAAUGCUUUACACAUGCAAGUCGAACGGCAGCACGGGAGCUUGCUCCUGGUGGCGAGUGGCGAACGGGUGAGUAAUGCGUCGGAACGUGCCGAGUAAUGGGGGAUAACGCAGCGAAAGUUGUGCUAAUACCGCAUACGCCCUGAGGGGGAAAGUGGGGGAUCGCAAGACCUCACGUUAUUCGAGCGGCCGACGUCUGAUUAGCUAGUUGGUGGGGUAAAGGCCUACCAAGGCGACGAUCAGUAGCGGGUCUGAGAGGAUGAUCCGCCACACUGGGACUGAGACACGGCCCAGACUCCUACGGGAGGCAGCAGUGGGGAAUUUUGGACAAUGGGGGCAACCCUGAUCCAGCCAUUCCGCGUGAGUGAAGAAGGCCUCGGUUGUAAGGACUCUUUCAGGGGGUAAGGAGUAAUAGACUGUACCCCACG